AAAAAAGCUUGGUUUUGUAAUUCAAGCAAGCUAAGCUUGAUGAUUAAUGUUUUGAAGGAAUAUUGGAGUGCAAGUACGGGUCAAGCAACCAUAAAGGAAGUGCAACAGUAAAGGUAGCGUACUGUGGUGGUGUGCCGGGAGAAAUAACGAGCUACCAGCAAGUAGGAAUAGCUAGAUACGCCUCCGAACAAAUAGCGAUGUAAUAUCCCGCUAUCGUAAGGUGAGUGAACUUGCAUUGAAAAUAUUUUGGGAAA
Theobroma cacao (cacao) is the source of this 254-nucleotide non-coding RNA. The record is from RefSeq and is a predicted model, not a curated record. Lineage: Eukaryota; Viridiplantae; Streptophyta; Magnoliopsida; Malvales; Malvaceae.